RNAcentral lists this ribosomal RNA (999 nucleotides) under uncultured Actinomycetes bacterium. RNAcentral's name for it is "bacterial SSU rRNA". It matches the Rfam family "Bacterial small subunit ribosomal RNA", at positions 508 to 1504 of the family's 1533-position model. Lineage: Bacteria; Bacillati; Actinomycetota; Actinomycetes. The record is from RNAcentral.
CCAGCAGCCGCGGUAAUACGUAGGGUGCAAGCGUUGUCCGGAUUUAUUGGGCGUAAGAGCUCGUAGGCGGUCAGUCGCGUCGGAUGUGAAAACCCAGUGCUUAACACUGGGCCUGCAUUCGAUACGGGCUGACUAGAGUGUUGUAGGGGAGACUGGAACUCCUGGUGUAGCGGUGAAAUGCGCAGAUAUCAGGAAGAACACCGGUGGCGAAGGCGGGUCUCUGGGCACUACUGACGCUGAGGAGCGAAAGCGUGGGGAGCAAACAGGAUUAGAUACCCUGGGUAGUCCACGCCGUAAACGGUGGGCGCUAGGUGUGGGGGAACAUUCCACGUUCUCCGUGCCGCAGCUAACGCAUUUAAGCGCCCCGCCCUGGGGAGUACGGCCGCAAGGCUAAAACUCAAAGGAAUUUGACGGGGGCCCGCACAAGCGGCGGAGCAUGCGGCUUAAUUCGAUGCAACGCGAAAAACCUUACCUAGGCUUGACAGUUGGGGAAAUCUGGCAGGAUGCCAGGUCCGUAAGGCCCAAAACAGGUGGUGCAUGGCUGUCGUCAGCUCGUGUCGUGAGAUGUUGGGUUAAGUCCCGCAACGAGCGCAACCCUCGUCGUAUGUUGCCAGCGGAUAAUGCCGGGGACUCAUACGAGACUGCCGGGGUCAACUCGGAGGAAGGUGGGGACGACGUCAAGUCAUCAUGCCCCUUAUGUCUAGGGCUGCACGCAUGCUACAAUGGCCGGUACAGAGGGCUGCGAUACCGCGAGGUGGAGCGAAUCCCAAAAAGCCGGUCUCAGUUCGGAUUGGGGUCUGCAACUCGACCCCAUGAAGUCGGAGUCGCUAGUAAUCGCAGAUCAGCAACGCUGCGGUGAAUACGUUCCCGGGCCUUGUACACACCGCCCGUCACGUCACGAAAGUCGGCAACACCCGAAGCCGGUGGCCUAACCCUUGUGGAAGGAGCCGUCGAAGGUGGGGCUGGUGAUUGGGACGAAGUCGUAACAAGGUAGCCGAU